CACGUAGUUAGCCGUGGCUUCCUCCUUGGCUACCGUCAUUAUCGUCACCAAGGACAGAGGUUUACAAUCCGAAAACCUUCUUCCCUCACGCGGCGUCGCUGGGUCAGGGUUUCCCCCCAUUGCCCAAUAUUCCCCCACUGCUGCCUCCCGUAGGAGUCUGGGCCGUGUCUCAGUCCCAAUGUGGCCGUUCAACCUCUCAGUCCGGCUACCAAUCGUCGGCAUGGUGGGCCUCUACCCCGCCAUCUACCUAAUUGGACGCGAGCCCAUCUCUCAGCGGAUUGCUCCUUUGAUUGCAAAACCCAUGCGGCUCUGCAAUGUUAUGCGGUAUUAGCGAUCGUUUCCCAAUCGUUAUCCCCCUCUGAAAGGCAGGUUGCUCACGCGUUACUCACCCGUCCGCCACUCGAAUAUGCCUUCCUCGGCCGAAGCCCUUGUCCAGCAUAUCCCCCGUUCGACUUGCAUGUGUUAGGCGCGCCGCCAGCGUCUCGUCGUGCACGGAGUCAAACGUACU
This 508-nucleotide ribosomal RNA is filed under the name uncultured Oscillospiraceae bacterium. Its description in RNAcentral is "partial 16S ribosomal RNA". Lineage: Bacteria; Bacillati; Bacillota; Clostridia; Eubacteriales; Oscillospiraceae. The record is from RNAcentral.